UUGUGGAGGAGGACGCCGAAGGUGGGGCUAAUGACUGGGGUGAAGUCGUAACAAGGUAGCCGUACCGGAAGGUGCGGCUGGAUCACCUCCUAACAGGGAGACAACAAAAUGUUUAAUAUUAUUAUUUUGUCACCUUAGGUCGAUCGGUAUCUCACGUUCUUAAUUUAUUAAGGAUUUCAUUUCCUAAGUUUUUCUAGGUCACACCCAUUAUUUUCCCUGGGCCAUUAGCUCAGGUGGUUAGAGCGCACCCCUGAUAAGGGUGAGGUCCCUGGUUCAAGUCCAGGAUGGCCCAUAUCUCUAUGUUGGGGGUAUAGCUCAGUUGGUAGAGCGCCUGCUUUGCAAGCAGGAUGUCAGCGGUUCGAGUCCGCUUACCUCCACUGAUUACCACCUCUUUCAUAAUCUGUAGAAAGGGAAUUUUUUGAGUCGUGACCAAAUUCUGAAAGAAUCUAGCUUCCUAAUGAAAUCAUUAAGAUGCUGGACUCAUUGAAUUAAUUUCAUUGUUUUCAGAGAACCUUGACAACUGCAUAGAUUAUUUUUUAAAGACAAUAAGCAUCUUUAAUGAUGCAGAUUUAUUAUUUGUGCGAAUGCAUUAAUAACAAUUCUAUUAAGCUGAUGCUUCAAUUUUUGAAGUUAUUGGUCAAGCUACAA
RNAcentral lists this unclassified non-coding RNA (648 nucleotides) under uncultured Prochlorococcus sp. RNAcentral describes it as "partial 16S-23S ribosomal RNA intergenic spacer; may also contain 16S ribosomal RNA and 23S ribosomal RNA". The stretch from base 305 to 377 matches the Rfam family "tRNA". The record is from RNAcentral. Lineage: Bacteria; Bacillati; Cyanobacteriota; Cyanophyceae; Synechococcales; Prochlorococcaceae.